Otolemur garnettii (small-eared galago) is the source of this 289-nucleotide long non-coding RNA. RefSeq lists it as uncharacterized. The record is from RefSeq and is a predicted model, not a curated record. The transcript is spliced from 3 exons. Lineage: Eukaryota; Metazoa; Chordata; Mammalia; Primates; Galagidae.
UCACGUGCCAUGGGGGGUAGAAAAUUGACAUGGGUUCAUAUGUAUGUCUUAGGAGAGAUUUAUGGCCCCAGCUGAACUAAUGCCUCAAUUUGCUUUGAAGGCACAGGGAUGAGAAGAAGGAAGACAGGGAAUUGGGAAGCUUGUGCUGACACGAAGGCACCAGAGAACCUGCAGGCAUUCUGUGUCUCUGUUGCUGUGAAUCCAGAAGACUUAGAGACCCAACCUUCGCAAAUAGUUCCUUCUGGGCAGUGCUAUUGCGGGCUUGGUGCUCCAUGUCAUUCAGAGUGGC